This is a long non-coding RNA of Felis catus (domestic cat), 1148 nucleotides long. RefSeq lists it as uncharacterized. The record is from RefSeq and is a predicted model, not a curated record. Lineage: Eukaryota; Metazoa; Chordata; Mammalia; Carnivora; Felidae. The transcript is spliced from 5 exons.
GAGGCUAGGUUGCCACAGUCAGGGACCGAGGAGGGUGACCCGGUGAGGGGCGCAGAUGAAGCACUGCCCUCUGGGGCCGGGCCAGGCACGGUUAUUUAUAACCACGGGUCGCCUUACCUCCUGACCUUCAGCUGGGGCCCGGCGAGCCGCGGCGAUUAGCAUCUCCUGCCGCCCAUUAUGAACAAACACCCCUGUGUGCCCGCCCCGGGCCCUGCAGGAAGCAGGAUGUUGGCCGGAACUGGUGCCCCGUGGCUCCCUCAGGUGAACCCGCCACGUGUGUCUUUACAGCAUGCGACAGAGCAGGGGGAGCGGAAGUUCCUGGAGUCUACAAGCUUCCCCACCACUGCCUCCGUCAUCGCAUUCCAGAACCCAGAACCAAAGGCCACCUCCUGAGUCCACUGGUCCCAUCCACUGGCCUUUAGGGGCAGGUCCACCCUGGGUGAUGCCAGAGAGGCCCCAUGGAGAAUGUCUCUGAAGGCUCACCUGCCAUCCUAAAGUAGACUCUUCCCAGGUUCAAGAAGGAAAAGAUAGACACUCCAGGGAAGCACGGCACCCAGAGAACUCAACAAUUUCUGUCUUCUUUUUAAAGAAAUAAUUUUUUAAGUGUUUACUUAUAUUUGAGAGACACACACACACAGGUCCCAGGUAACCUCCCCAAGACAGAAAUGUAGACUGCCUACAAAAUAAAAAGCCUGUGUCCACAGAAGCAGAACAGGCCAACAACAGGUGGCAAAAGGCAGCAGCUGAAAGUUCGCUCUGGGACCUGUCCCUCACCCGGGCUAGCCAAAGGGUGCCUGCACAGGAUGAAAUGAACUCUUCGAUGCGAAAGAGAAUAUGGGUCUCCUCCGCUGUUGAAUUUUCAUGGAACACCCCUUGUCCUUAAAUUGGGGAGGGCAGAGCAACAGAGAAAGGUAUUCACCGAAAGGUCCGAUGUAGGCCCAUGUUACCUGUGCUUCCUAACCCACUUCUUUUAGGACAGACAACGUCUAGAACACUGCUGGACUGGAAAUAAGAAUACGCUGCAUUGGGGCACCUGAGUGGCUCAGUCAGUUGGGUGUCUGACUUCGGCUCAGGACACGAUCUCACGGCUCGUGGGUUCGCGCCCCGCAUCAAGCUCUGUGCUGACAGCUCAGAGCCUGGAGCCUGCU